Molecule: long non-coding RNA, 471 nt
Filed under: Hordeum vulgare
Lineage: Eukaryota; Viridiplantae; Streptophyta; Magnoliopsida; Poales; Poaceae
Description: long non-coding RNA (HVUL_LNC009644)
Source: RNAcentral
CUCAAUGGAUAGAUCUUGCGUGUGCUUAUAUUUUUUGUUUGCCAUGCAAUGUAACCAAAUACAUGGGAGCAACAAGGUUGAUGUAGAGGCCCUUCAUGAUUGAUCCCCCUCUGGGAGGGCACCGGAAUAUGACUUCAGAUGGGAUCAUGGCCGAACAGAGACUUACAUCGGCAGAAAAAGUAUUUCAUGAUUGUUUCCCUGAUUUUAGAGAAUAUAUAGAGGCGAAGCUAGGGUAAAGGGAGCCAAAGGUGGUCCCAAGGCAUCAUGGCGCACCUUGUUCCCUUGGCAGCACCUCGUGUGGUGUUUGGCCCCCCUCCAAAGAUUACAGGUCUUAUUUCUGUCCAGAAGGAAUCAUCAAAAUGUUUUGUGGCAUUUGACUUCGUUUGGUACUAGGUUCCUCAAAAGCAAAAAACACAUAGGCACUAGGUUAAUAGGUUAGUGCCAAAAAAUGAUAUGGAACAACAAAUAUAU